GCCUGGGUGGCUCAGUUGGUUAAGCAUCUGACUUCAGCUCAGGUCACUAUCUCAUGGUCUGUGAGUUCCAGCCCCACAUCAGGCU
This 85-nucleotide transfer RNA is filed under the name Felis catus (domestic cat). It matches the Rfam family "tRNA". Rfam says of the family: Transfer RNA (tRNA) molecules are approximately 80 nucleotides in length. Their secondary structure includes four short double-helical elements and three loops (D, anti-codon, and T loops). Lineage: Eukaryota; Metazoa; Chordata; Mammalia; Carnivora; Felidae. The record is from Rfam by way of RNAcentral.